GGCAGAGCCAACCCAGAGGGGCUCAGGUGCAUGCAAUACAGCUGAGUGACCAGGAGGGGUGGAGCCAGGAUCCACCCCUUCUCAGACUUCAUUUAUGGGUUGGCAGUGGGGGUGAGGGUGUCUUGCUGGAGAUUCCUGUGCCUUCCAAAGAGUGAUUCUCAGGAUGGGCAGCUUUCUGAGAGAGAGAGAGAGAGAGAUGGCUACUAAGAAGGCUUUUGCUUUGGCCAGACUUUGGCAGCUCUGGAUGCUGCAGAAAAGGAUGCUGAGCAGCAGGAGUGGGAGGCAGCUGUGUGCUGCUGGGCACAGACAUGGGAGGCUGAUCUGAUCUGAGCAUCAGUCACUGAAAAGAGUAUUUUAAUGGUCUUUCAAACAGAAGAGAAAAAGAGAGAGUCCACCUUGAACAGAUAUCAAAUGGAUGCCAGCCUGGUUUAGUCUAAUAAUGAGCAUCACUGAGAUUAAGGUUGAACUGUUUAUGCUGUUCCUUCUGGAGAAGGUGCUCCAGGAUAAGGACUGUGAUGUUCCCUUGACCUGGAGAAUUACAGAGGAAUUUCUCCGUGGCCCAGAAGGCACUGACCUCAUUCCUCUGCCCUCCCACGCCCGGCAGUUUACAGGUUCAUUGGGAAAGAUUAAGGUAAUGAACUGUUCCCUCUCAUUUCCUCAUCCAUAGGCAGAAAUAAGCAGGAAUCCUCAGGCCAGAGAUAAGACACUGUGUUCAUCAUAGCAUGUUCCCAAGGGCUGGAGGUGAAACUAUGUGCUGGUGGGCAGCAAGAGGAAGACACUGCCCAGGUGAGAGGGACCAGUUCUCCACCUUUGCUAUCUAUUGCUAUUCUCUUGGUGUCUACCCAGAGUUAUCCACAGGAAAGGUGUGGCAUGGUUGGUAAGACAUCUCCAUUCUCCAAGGGCCUUUGGUACAUCACCAACUGCAUAUAACUGAAUCCUCCCAUGAGUUAAGCACUGAACAGUUAAAUGAAGUCAUAUCCGAGUUCAAAUUCAAGGUGGUCGAAAGGACUGAGUUAUUCCAGGCUGUCUGGGAGAUUACUUUCAAAUCUCCUCCAGUGAUUUAGGAAAACAAAAAGUGCUCCUUUGGGAAAUGCCUCAGGAAUAUGGCUGUCCACUGGGAGGAAGCACAGACACGCUUACUGUGUUCUCAGGGAUGCUGGCAGAGCCCUGGGCAGCAUGGGAAGAGACACUGUAAUCAAGCAUGGAUUAGGGCUAUCAACAUGGGGUGCUGCUCUUCAGCUGGGUGCUCGCUGUGGCUCUGGAGGUGGGCACAGCUGCUAUGUUGGGCUGUGGUGCAGAGCUGGUGUGCUGGCACCAGUCUGCUGAGCUGGAGGGGCCAUCCAGGUCCCAGCAGGGAUGCUGGGGUGCCCUGUGGUGGCUGCUGUCCCCAGGCAGUGUCCUGCAGCACCCUGGCUAGCUGGAGACAGGGUGACGGGAUGGGUGCCUCUGGUUUGGCAGGUGACCACAAGGAAGCAUUGUACUACUGAGCUCAUUUCCACUGGGACCAAAGGGUUCAUUAGGAGUAAAAAUAACCCUGGAAAAACAGCCAAAACCCUCUCAGGGAGUGCCUCAGUUGUUGGGGCCAACUUUGGCCAGCCAAGGAUCUGCCCUUUUUGCCCUCCCUGUGCAGCCCUUGCUGCUUCUGCAGCCACCAGUGUAAUGAUACUACCAGGACCAGAGGGACCACCCUUGGCACAUUGGAUGGUUCAUAUUGCCCUGCUUAAGCCUGCUUCUUAAAGAACAGCCUUUGCCAUUUCUAAAUCACAGAUGUUGUGUCAAUCUUCUGCAAAAGAUGGCAUUUUACAUAGAAGGACAGGACAGGGGCUUCUGAACCAAAUGCUCUGCCUUAGUGCUGUUCCUCCUGAGCUCCCUCGGACGUUUCUUGCAGUCUUGCUGUUUGAAUAAGGAACUCUUCCAGCUCAUUUGCAAAUAUGCCUUGUGCAGCAAAUAGAGCUGUAGGAUCAGCUGAUUUUUCAGUUUCAUUGGUGAACAAACAAAAAUCAGAGGAAAACAAAUUAGCUCAGACCAAAGAGAGCAUUUUUCCCAAAGUUGCUUUGCAGAACAGCAACAGCAAAGAAGAUGAGCCAGACCCAAAACAAGGAGACUUAUUGAGCUCAUUGGGAGAGCAUUCAUUCUUCUUUUUCACUGUUUUUCUCAAAAAAAGAAAAUAAUGUCAGGUUUCAGAAUAACAAAGUGGUGGUUCUGAAAGAUGAGGCAGAAAGGCUUCUUGCAAAUAUGUCAGAGCAAAGUAACUGCAGCACCUUUAGGAGUGAGCGGGAGGGACAUCUGGAGGGGGAAACGUAUCCCUAAGCUCAGUUCACACUGUGUGGAUGAUUUCCUUCUCCCGUGAGCUGCAUUCUUCCCAAAAUCUGUUACCCACUGAGGGCAAACGCCCGGCUUCCCUGUUAAUCUCCUUUGCAGCACUGCCUUAGAGUGAGGGAUAAACCUGUACAAAGGAGAAAGACGUGGGGAUCUAGGGACAAAAAGUGCAGGACAAAGGACAGAAGAAUGCCCGGCAGCAAAUGAAUUUCCUUCUAAGCCAGAUACUGCUGAAUUUUAAGCCAUUGUGAAUGUACGUGGCUCAGGGUUCAGCAGUCAGUGAUAAAUGUGAGGGUUAUUUCUCACUCCGUUUCUGAGUUUCUGAUAAGAAACGUUUGCAUGCUUCCCCUGGAGGAAUUAAACUGUAAGCAACCCAAAUCUGGCAGGGCUUAGUUCCGCUCAGUCGUGCACAGGGAGGAAUGAAGCAAUUGAGCUCAGUCUGCAUCCAGCGAUGUGUUCGGCACUGCAAAAUUGAUGAGGGGCUACGUGUGUUACACGUGUUUCCUAACAUGAGCCCAUCUCCUGUGGGUGAACCACGGGCUGACUGUACAUUGCUGCUUCUGCUGGCUCACAUCAAAUUAAAUAUUCACUGAAGCACCAGCUUUGCAGAGAAAAGGCAGAGUUCUUCACGAGGAGAUAAUAUUUGGAAGCAGAAGUGUCUACUGGACUCCAGGAAGCUGAUACAGGGGCUGCAUGGGAGCAGCUGCCUAAAAAUGGUGUUGAAGUUGAGGGUUUUCUGCUCCGUGGUGCCACUGUAGGAAUAGAGUGUGUCGCCUUCAAGUCCUUGACCAGCAAACAGUCCCUUCCCCGCUGUACUGUUGGGUUUUUGGUGAUUUUCAUGGAAAGGAGCUCCCAAGGAAGGGAUGGUGACCCACCUUGAGGUGGUCCGGGGCAGAUGGAGGAACCAGGCAUGUAUUUAUGAGAAACAGAGUCAGAAAGACCCACUCAAAGUCACUGUUGUCCAUCUGGGUGUGGAAGGAUCACAUGGGUCCUUCUUUGCCAUCAUUCCUGUACUAACAAUGAUGAGGAAAAGGUCCCCUUUGGGAAGGGGACGAUGCCAGAAACCCUGAGCUGCGGUGUCAUCACAGUCAGGUAUGAUGUAGGGCUGUAACAAACUCAGUGCCAGGGCUCAGGCAGGUCUCACAAGCCUCCAUAUUACACAAUGGGAGAGAAGCUUUAAUUAAUUAAUUAUUCUCGGGGCAAUUGACAUUAGCAAAAGCAGAUCAAAGCAGAAGCGGCAGCAUUGCACCUCCUUUGCAACACUGAGAAGCGUUGCAGAGCUGAGAAGCAAAUGGAAGCUGUGUGAAAAGAGAGAGCAAGUUUCCCCAUCUCUGAGAAGCUGAUGGAAAUCACUGCAAAAGCAAAUGGCUCCGGGUUAUGGCAGCAGCUUCCUUGCAACAACUGUACCACAGCCUGUAGUUCCUUUGGAACACUCUUUAUUAGAACAGCAAUUGGCUGUCACAGUGGAAAAUAUUGCACUGAGUGCAUGGAACUUCAGUGUGCAAUGAGAAGUGUGUGCACUCGGUGAGAUACUUUCCACUGCAAAAAGGGUAUUUUUUUGCUAAAUUGAGUAUUGCCACAAAGGGAAAGGUGCAUCCUUACGUGUAGGAGGCAUUUACAGAAAUGCUGGGGGAAAAGCUAUUCUCAUUAAUAUUUUUCGGUUUGAGGAAUGAAAUGACAACGUGUUCCACAGUAAAAGUCAGCAAUUCAUCUUCUUUUCUUUUCUUUCAUCAGCAUUUUAUGCAUGAGGGGAUCCCACUUUGUGCCUGACUCCGCCAAAGUCAUGCACGUCUGCACACCCAGGCAGAUGAGCACAGCAGUGCUCUUCCAGCACGGUCCCCAGCCCUCACAGCAGCACUCUCCAGAGCAUGCACAGAUGCAAGCAACAGGGAGAAGGCAAGACCUGAGGAACGCACUCCAAGCAGCAGCAAGAGUCACCCAGCCUCGGUGAGGCUCUGGGCUUUCAGCUGGGCUGAUGCUCCCCCUGUCCUUCUGUCAGCAGGGCAGGGCUGGGGGAACAUGCUGAACUAGGAGCACCGCAUCUGCUGCUGGGGACAGGAGCUCCCUUCUCCUCCCGUAGUGGUGCUGCUGCACAGGGGGUUGGGAAAGGAUGUGACCUUUUGCAGAACACAUCCGAGCUGGGGAGCUUUAUUAUUCCGUACCCACUACAGACUGAAGGCAGAUUAAGCUGUCCCAGAGUCAAAGCUGACCUCUGCAAUCUUCCUGAUCUUCCUGCCAAUGCUUUGUCAAGGCAGAGGUGGACUUAAUGAGGUGGUUGUCGUGGUCUGACAAAUGGCAGUGAAAUCGAAGGGUACAAAUCAUGUUUGAACACAUCUGUAUCAGCCAAACAAGGCCUCGUGGAUCUCCGAGGUGAGGUUGCUUCUCAGCGUGGUGUUCUCCAGAGAGCAAUAGUGGAGCGUGGAGCUGGCAGGGAGGCACUGGACAGCUUGAAAUGGGGACCAUAGGGGUUGUGACACAUGGAUCUGGAUCUGCAGAGGCACUGGUGAGAAAUGCACACUGCUUGAUGCCUGGCAGGACACACGGACCCAAGGGGGCCAUGGUCAUGCCCAUCCCUCAGCCGCUUCCUGAGGGUCUUUUCACACAAUCUUGAGUCAAGAAGACCCAACCUUUCCCAGCGGACCAUUUGCCAGCUGGUCUGGAAAGGCCAUCUCUCCCCACCACAGUGCCACCAUGUGCCCCUCCUGUCCGGGGCGAUGACAGCCCAUCUCAGCAGCCUCGCUGGGAACUGAACAUGCCCAUGUUUGCUCUUUGUUUUCGCACUUUGCAGGUUUGUUUUUGCUUCCAGGAGCUGUUUAUUAUGCCAGGAAAAACAAAAACAAAAAAAAAAAAGAAAAUCCCACAAAACAAACAAACGAGAAAGCAACGUGCAAACACGAGCCUGUCUGCUCGGGAUAUUUCCAUCUCCUUACU
Molecule: long non-coding RNA, 5250 nt
Organism: Gallus gallus (chicken)
Lineage: Eukaryota; Metazoa; Chordata; Aves; Galliformes; Phasianidae
Source: Ensembl